CCCCCAUGUUAAUGUAAUUGACUGAUUAGUGAUAUUAUUAUCGCUCUGGAUCCAGGAAUAUCCCAAUAAACACAAUGAACCCCGGACUCACCCUCCGCUCCCAGCAGCCAGCUCUGCACUGAGUGCACUGAAUGACGUCACAGCGGAAAUGCCGAUUCCAGGAGGCGGAGUCUAUGCGUUUACUGAGACGCUGAGAAAGGAAGUGACGUCACGGAGCUCGAUCCGCCCGGCGCCAUGAUGGAUGAGGGCAAAGGUCUUAUUACUCUGUAGGAGCAGUAUGGGCAAUAGGCAGAAAGUAUAACAUUAGUUAGACGGGAUGGGGAAGGGCUACAUGUAGAAGGCUAGAAUGGGAUGUAUGAAUGUGGGCGGGGUUAUAUAGCAAU
Pelobates cultripes (western spadefoot toad) is the source of this 383-nucleotide non-coding RNA. The record is from the annotation of a GenBank genome assembly. NCBI's taxonomy places the organism in Eukaryota, Metazoa, Chordata, Amphibia, Anura, Pelobatidae.